CGGGAAAAGCUCAAAUUUAAAAUCUGGUGGUCUUUGGCUGCCCGAGUUGUAAUCUAGAGAAGCAUUAUCCGCACUGGACCAUGUAUAAGUCUCCUGGAAUGGAGCGUCAUAGAGGGUGAGAAUCCCGUCUUUGACAUGGACUACCAGGGCUUUGUGAUGUGCUCUCAAA
Molecule: ribosomal RNA, 169 nt
Filed under: Entolomataceae sp.
Lineage: Eukaryota; Fungi; Basidiomycota; Agaricomycetes; Agaricales; Entolomataceae
Description: partial large subunit ribosomal RNA
Rfam family: Eukaryotic large subunit ribosomal RNA
Source: RNAcentral